RNAcentral lists this long non-coding RNA (2378 nucleotides) under Danio rerio (zebrafish). Its description in RNAcentral is "si:ch73-70c5.2 (ENSDARG00000097123.2)". Lineage: Eukaryota; Metazoa; Chordata; Actinopteri; Cypriniformes; Danionidae. The record is from RNAcentral.
CACAGGUGAAGAAAUACACGCUCGGUUUCUUCUGGGUGCAGCUCUGAGAAACCAGAAGGAGAAGAGCUGGAUGAGGAUGAAGAUGAGGAUGGAGAGAUGGGGUGUUUAUGCAUUCACAGCGGAGGAGAGAUGACACCGACAACUCUUCCAGCUCCUUAUCAAUGGAUGACUCUAUUGGUCCGGACCUCAAGAAGGACCUCAGCCCUGGACACCCGAUUAGAAUCAAUGAGAAGAGAAAUCCAUGAAAGAGCCUCUUCAACAGUGUCCACACCAUCAUCUCCAAGAGACAAACUCACCAGCUUCUGUAUUAUAAACAGAGGAAGACAGGAACACUUUACAAUCAGGUCCCAUUAUUUAGGUUGGCCAUAAAAAAGUACAUCCAAGAGGUUGUUAUCGCAGAAUAAAGCCUGACAGUUUUAUCGGCUUAUCAAUGUGAAGCUGAGGGCUAUUGUGUAAGACUGAGGGGCUUUAUUCUGCGAAAACAACCCUUCUGGAUGGACUUUAUUCUACUUAUUACAUGGCUACUUGCCACAAAACAUUGUUCUAAGCUGUAAUCGUUUAUUAAUUCUUUAAUUACAUGCAAAGCUGACAGAAAAGAAAACAGCUGAUGGAGUAUACACUAACCUGCACAUUAUUCAGACACACGAUAGCGCCAAACAGACAAAAACGCAAAUCUGACAGAAGCUAAAACAGCUGAUGGAGUAUACACUAACCUGCACAUUAUUCAGACACAAGAUGGCGCCAAACAGCCAUACACAAAGCUGACAAAAAUGAAAACAGCUGAUGGAGUAUACACUUACCUGAGCAUUAUUCAGACACAUGAUAGCGCCAAACAGACAAAAACGCAAAUCUGACAGAAGCUAAAACAGCUGAUGGAGUAUACACUAACCUGCACAUUAUUCAGACACAAGAUGGCGCCAAACAGCCAAACACAAAGCUGACAAAAAUGAAAACAGCUGAUGGAGUAUACACUAACCUGAGCAUUAUUCAGACACAUGAUAGCGCCAAACAGACAAAAACGCAAAUCUGACAGAAGCUAAAACAGCUGAUGGAGUAUACACUAACCUGCACAUUAUUCAGACACAAGAUGGCGCCAAACUUUCAAAAACACAAAACUGACACAAACUAAAACAGCUGAUGGAGUAUACACUAACCUGCGCAUUAUUCAGACACAAGAUGGAGGUUUGACAGUAAAAAUGUAACAUGAACAGCGUUAAUUUAACUCAGUAAUAUUAAAUAUUUUUCCAGACCCAAAACUGGAUUUACAGUACAAUGAAGAAAAGUGUAUGGGGCAGGACUUGAUUUUAAGUGGUUGUGACUGAAUUAUGCACAAAAAUAGUCAAUUCUGAAUUCUUGCUGACUUAAAAUAGCAGGUACACACACCUCAGCACACCCUGUUUCUCCUACAAAAACAUAAAGCACUUACUGUCCUCACACCCAUAUGAAAGAGUCAUCUUUAAGUGCAUGUAUGAACAGCCUCUUAAUCUACAGGGCAGGAUUCCAGACUCACCUUUAUGGAGAACUUAUAGGGAAAUAAACUUGCGCUGACUUGUUUACACCUCUUGGUUUAUUUUACAAAUCUAGAAAAGUCUGGAUAGAGGUAAAUGAUAGUAGUAAAAGGACCUGUGCUUGUGAUUUUAUAAGCUGUGUUUACAACUGAAAAUGGUCAUAAUUUAAUGUGUUUUGUUGUUUGUUUGCAAUCUUUUGAUAAUGGUUGUUGAAAUUGUUGAAAAUUAUUUAUUACAAAAUUAUGAACCAAAUAAUAGUAAUAAUAAAAAAAAAAAUAAUAAUAGUAAUAAUAAUUACAAAAUGACAUUGUCAAUGCAUAAUACAGGGGUUGAUUUGGACUAUUUUGUUGUCUGUAUGUGAAACUUUUCUAGUGCAUUGUUGUGUAAACAGAUUUUAAGUUUAGUAAUAACUACUACAGUUGCUUGUACUUUAAAUAAGUGAAUAGAACAAACUAAUGUUACUGUAAAUAUUAGGGGGUAUUUUAAUGACACCACUGUAAGUUUAAAACUGAAAAUAAAAUACAUAUUAUUUUAUUAAUUUACACUUUUGCGGCCUAAAAUAAGAAGCUAACUUGUUUUUAAGCGACAGGUUUUUAAAAUAAUACUCUCUAGAAAUGCUGUUUUUAAUGCAAAUGUUGGGCCAAGUUUUGAUAAAGCCAACAUUGGAUUUUAUUUUUUCAAUUCAAUUUAAAUUAUAUUUUUUUAAACCAAUGAUUGGGUUUUUGUUAAAGCAACCCAGCAUUUGUUUAGAACUGUCAUUGUCUUCAUGUACACUACAAAAACGCAGUUUUGUGAAAAUAUUGAUGUUUUAUGUUAAUCCAAAAUAUUGUUUAUAAAAUAUAUAGUUUUUAUAAAGUUGCAAAACAUUUU